Long non-coding RNA from Grammomys surdaster, 792 nucleotides. RefSeq lists it as uncharacterized. Lineage: Eukaryota; Metazoa; Chordata; Mammalia; Rodentia; Muridae. The transcript is spliced from 3 exons. The record is from RefSeq and is a predicted model, not a curated record.
UACCCUCUUCUAUCCCCUUAUCUGGCCUUGUUCUCCUUUAAAACAGUUAGAGUUAUACACAACUAUAUGAUUUGUUCUGUCAUCGUCUGUCCCUGCUAUUAAGUGCAAACAUGAAAACCAUGGAAAUCUGGUAUUGUCCUACACCAGAACACACAGUAGGGAUUCCAUAAAGAAGUAAUGAACAUCAUCAAAAAAGACUAACACCAGGGUUUCACUCCUCCCACAUUCUCCUAGGGUUCCUAGGGCACCUAGAGCAAGCGGGAGUCAGGAGCAAGCUUUGCAACCAACCAGUCCAGAGUCCAAGCUCGGCUCCAUGGGACCUAAGAUGUAACCAAUCCCGGAUCCCUCAGUGCAUAUCUUCUGUUUUGUUUGCACAGUGACCUACAAUCACAGAAAUGAAAACGUUACUGGUGAGUGGCUAAUGGACAAGAACUUGCGAAGCUCUUGGCAAUCUUGAUAUAAGAGAUUGUAAAAGUUCUAUAACCCUGCCGAGCGUCUCAGGCCUUGGGCCAAAGCAACUAGACCGCUGCACGUCAUCAUCUCCCAUGGGCCCUGACUUCAGGCGACUGAGCAUGCUCUUUACAAACUUGACAGACAGCUGGGUCCUUUGCAACCUGCCCAGUAUGUUAUUUCUCGGACGACUUCCUGUGUGACCUGGGAGAGGGGAGAACUCUGGCGCUGAGGCAAGGUAAAAAAGAAAACAAGUCUGAAGCCUGAGAAGGAGACUAUCAGUGAGUUCUCGGCACCUCCAUCAUCACAUUCUGCACGAUGCCAGGCACUGGGAACUCAGCA